RNAcentral lists this ribosomal RNA (253 nucleotides) under uncultured bacterium. RNAcentral's name for it is "partial 16S ribosomal RNA". It matches the Rfam family "Bacterial small subunit ribosomal RNA", at positions 524 to 776 of the family's 1533-position model. The record is from RNAcentral.
UACGUAGGGUGCAAGCGUUGUCCGGAAUUAUUGGGCGUCAAGAGCUCGUAGGCGGUCUGUCGCGUCGAAUGUGAAAACCCGGGGCUCAACCCCGGGCCUGCAUUCGAUACGGGCAGACUAGAGUUCGGUAGGGGAGUCUGGAAUUCCUGGUGUAGCGGUGAAAUGCGCAGAUAUCAGGAGGAACACCGGUGGCGAAGGCGGGACUCUGGGCCGAUACUGACGCUGAGGAGCGAAAGCGUGGGGAGCGAACAGG